AGUCUUCGGCCCUCUCCUGUCGCCGCCAUGAGCACUGGCAACUUCGUCGUGUCGCAGCCGCUCAAUUACCGCGGCGGGGCCCGCGUGGAGCCGGCGGACGCCUCCGGCACCGAGAAAGCUUUCGAGCCAGCAACCGGCCGAGUGAUAGCUACUUUCACAUGUUCAGGAGAAAAGGAAGUAAAUUUGGCUGUUCAAAAUGCAAAGGCUGCUUUUAAAAUAUGGAGUCAAAAAUCUGGCAUGGAGCGUUGCCGAAUCCUUUUGGAGGCUGCCAGGAUAAUAAGGGAACGGGAGGAUGAAAUUGCUACUAUGGAGUGCAUCAACAAUGGCAAGUCCAUCUUUGAGGCCCGCUUGGACAUCAACAUUUCCUGGCAGUGCCUGGAGUAUUAUGCGGGCUUGGCUGCAUCCAUGGCUGGUAAGUCCUCACCUGGUGUCUGUGACCAGCUGAUAAUGAGGCAGAAGAGCAGGGCCUAGUGGUGAAGGGCAAAGAUUUUGGAAUUAAGACAAACCUGGGUGAAAGUCUUGGGUUUGUCACUUUCUACCUGGGUGGCCUGGGAAUUACUUUAUCUUU
Molecule: small RNA, 568 nt
Filed under: Pan troglodytes (chimpanzee)
Lineage: Eukaryota; Metazoa; Chordata; Mammalia; Primates; Hominidae
Description: retained intron
Source: RNAcentral